RNAcentral lists this long non-coding RNA (555 nucleotides) under Nicotiana benthamiana. Its description in RNAcentral is "long non-coding RNA (NBEN_LNC039119)". Lineage: Eukaryota; Viridiplantae; Streptophyta; Magnoliopsida; Solanales; Solanaceae. The record is from RNAcentral.
AAAAAAAGCAGCAGCUCUUGAUUUUCCGGAAAAAAAAUAACGCACACACACUCACACGAUAAAAAUAAAAUAGUAGCCUAAAAUUGAUUUCUUUUUCGAUUUGGAUCAUAUACGUUCUCUUCAUCUCACAAAGUAAACAAAAUCUCGUUUUUAGUCCUAAAUUAAACACAAAGCAGCAGCGGAAAACAUAAUCUCAGAGAAUCGCCUCCCCCUCCUUUUUCUCGUUUCUCGCUCGUCGGAUUUGUCUCGCCGGAGAGCUGGUUAAAUCUGCUGAUGAACGCAGAUUCCCAACAGAUAUUUCGUUUGCAACAAUGAUCCGCAUCAUUCAUUGUUGAAGAAGAGUUGAGGUUCGCUCGAGAUUCCCCUAUGAUUCGAGAUCUCUGUUUAGUUUUCCGGUGAGCUUCGAAAUUGAAGUUUCGUUUGUCAGUUUCCAUCUGAUUCCGGGCUGCAAAUCAGUUAAGUUAUGAUUCACUUUAAGAGCUUCAUUUCCCAUCUUUUAUUUCUUGUACUUAAUGGAUCAUAAUUAAUUUCAUUUUUACAUGUGUUUAUAUGGUG